CAUCGUUAUUUUCAUGUUUAUGGGUGUCAUGGCCGUGGAUUUUGUCCCAUGGGCGCUGCCAUCUUCCAAAUUGAAGAUUUUUUGGCAGAAGUAUUCAGGCGUCCGUGUGAGUCAUAUCGAUCUUCGUGAUUGUUGAAAAGUAGUGUCCGCGGUGGUUUUUCUACCACCCCUCCCCCCUUUUAUGGAGGGAUACCGGGAUUGCGGCCUACUCCCGUUCAGGACCUCUUGCCGUAUUUUAAAAUACGGUCCUCACACGGGUCGGCUCGGAAGUCAAAAUGGCUUCCGAGUCUAAAUGCCAAGGACACCCCGUCGUCCGAUUCCGGACGAAUCCCUCGGGCCUCCGGCCCUAAUUACCCAGGAGGGCCUCUCUCGGCACGGU
Aedes albopictus (Asian tiger mosquito) is the source of this 379-nucleotide long non-coding RNA. RefSeq lists it as uncharacterized. The record is from RefSeq and is a predicted model, not a curated record. The transcript has 2 exons. Lineage: Eukaryota; Metazoa; Arthropoda; Insecta; Diptera; Culicidae.